UGAGUACGAGAUGCUACGGCAUUGAAGCAGUCUAUGUCAUACUUCCAAGAAAAGCUUGCAAUGUCAUAAACAAAUAAUGCCUGUACCAUAACCGACACAGGUGGGUAGGUAGAGUAUACUAAGGGGCGCGAGAUAACUCUCUCUAAGGAACUCGGCAAAAUGACUCCGUAACUUCGGGAGAAGGAGUGCCUUAUUUUAUAAGGUUGCAAUAACAAGAUCCAAGCAACUGUUUACCAAAAACACAGGUCUCCGCUAAGUCGUAAGACGAUGUAUGGGGGCUGACGCCUGCCCAGUGCCAGAAGGUUAAAGAAGUUGGUUAGCAUUAGCGAAGCUGAUAACUGAAGCCCUGGUGAACGGCGGCCGUAACGAUAACGGUCCUAAGGUAGCGAAAUUCCUUGUCGGGUAAGUUCCGACCCGCACGAAAGGCGUAAUGAUUUGGAUACUGUCUCGGAGAGGGGCUCGGUGAAAUAGACUUGUCUGUGAAGAUGCGGACUACCUGCACCUGGACAGAAAGACCCUAUGAAGCUUUACUGUAACUUGAGAUUGAAAUUGGACUUUAUUUGCGCAGUAUAGGUGGGAGACAUUGAAAGUAUUCUUGCGGGAAUAUUGGAGUCAUCAGUGAGAUACCACUCUUAUAAUGUUAGAUUUCUAACUUUGUAUCAUUAUCUGGUCAAAGAACAGUUUCAGGCGGGCAGUUUGACUGGGGCGGUCGCCUCCCAAACGGUAACGGAGGCGCACAAAGGUUUCCUCUGAACGUGUAGAAAUCGUACCUAGAGUGUAAAGGCAUAAGGAAGCUUGACUGUGAGACCUACAAGUCGAGCAGGGACGAAAGUCGGUCUUAGUGAUCUGACGGUGCUGAGUGGAAAGGCCGUCACUCAACGGAUAAAAGUUACUCUAGGAUAACAGGCUGAUCUCCCCCAAGAGUUCACAUCGACGGGGAGGUUUGGCACCUCGAUGUCGGCUCAUCGCAUCCUGGGGCGGUAGUACGUCCCAAGGGUUGGGCUGUUCGCCCAUGAAAGCGGUACGCGAGCUGGGUUCAGAACGUCGUGAGACAGUUCGGUCCAUAUCCGGUGUAGGCGUUAGAAUAUUGAGAGGAGCCUUCUUUAGUACGAGAGGACCGAGAAGGACAUACCUCUGGUGUACCAGUUAUCGUGCCAACGGUAAACGCUGGGUAGCUAUGUAUGGAGAGGAUAACCGCUGAAAGCAUCUAAGUGGGAAGCCCACCUCAAGAUAAG
This 1235-nucleotide ribosomal RNA is filed under the name metagenome. RNAcentral's name for it is "bacterial LSU rRNA". It matches the Rfam family "Bacterial large subunit ribosomal RNA", at positions 1564 to 2808 of the family's 2925-position model. The record is from RNAcentral.